Molecule: ribosomal RNA, 497 nt
Filed under: uncultured bacterium
Lineage: Bacteria
Description: partial 16S ribosomal RNA
Rfam family: Bacterial small subunit ribosomal RNA
Source: RNAcentral
GAUGAACGCUGGCGGCGUGCCUAAUACAUGCAAGUCGAGCGAACAGACGAGGAGCUUGCUCCUCUGACGUUAGCGGCGGACGGGUGAGUAACACGUGGAUAACCUACCUAUAAGACUGGGAUAACUUCGGGAAACCGGAGCUAAUACCGGAUAAUAUAUUGAACCGCAUGGUUCAAUAGUGAAAGACGGUUUUGCUGUCACUUAUAGAUGGAUCCGCGCCGCAUUAGCUAGUUGGUAAGGUAACGGCUUACCAAGGCAACGAUGCGUAGCCGACCUGAGAGGGUGAUCGGCCACCUGGGAACUGAGACACGGUCCAGACUCCUACGGGAGGCAGCAGUAGGGAAUCUUCCGCAAUGGGCGAAAGCCUGACGGAGCAACGCCGCGUGAGUGAUGAAGGUCUUCGGAUCGUAAAACUCUGUUAUUAGGGAAGAACAAAUGUGUAAGUAACUAUGCACGUCUUGACGGUACCUAAUCAGAAAGCCACGGCUAACUACGUG